AUUGAACGCUGGCGGCAGGCCUAACACAUGCAAGUCGAACGAGUGGCGGACGGGUGAGUAAUGUCUGGGAAACUGCCUGAUGGAGGGGGAUAACUACUGGAAAUGGUAGCUAAUACCGCAUACCAUCAGAUGUGCCCAGAUUGGAUUAGCUAGUUGGUGGGGUAACGGCUCACCAAGGCGACGAUCCCUAGCUGGUCUGAGAGUAUGACCGGCCACACUGGAACUGAGACACGGUCCAGACUCCUACGGGAGGCAGCAGUAGGGAAUAUUGCACAAUGGGCGAAAGCCUGAUGCAGCAAUGCCGCGUGUGUGAAGAAGGCCUUCGGGUUGUAAAGCACUUUCAGCGGGGAAGCGUUACCCGCAGAAGAAGCACCGGCUAACUCCGUGCCAGCAGCCGCGGUAAUUC
Molecule: ribosomal RNA, 406 nt
Filed under: uncultured bacterium
Lineage: Bacteria
Description: partial 16S ribosomal RNA
Rfam family: Bacterial small subunit ribosomal RNA
Source: RNAcentral